ACAAUGUCGGUCUCACAGAUUCUGGUGCCGAGGAUCUCGUCUCCGCUCUCAGUACAAACCCAUCACUGACAGAGCUGGACCUGAGUCAUAAUGAACUGGGAGAUUCAGGAGUGAAACUGGUGUCUGCGGCUCUGAGGAACCCGGUGUGUAAAAUACAGACACUGCGGCUGUGGUGUGUCGGUCUCACAGAUUUUGGUGCCGAGGAUCUCGUCUCCGCUCUCAGAACAAACCCAUCACUGACGGAGCUGGACCUGGUAUUCAACUCGCUGACAGACCGAUCUGUCCCCGCUCUGCGCCGCCUCAUACUGACCCUCCCGAGACUGGAGCGGAUCUGGCUGGGGGAGAAUCGAUUCAGUCGGACAGGGGAGACGGAACUGAGAUCUCUGCAGGAACCCAGACCGGGACUGAGAGUGGACUGUGAACAUCCGCGCCAGCGGGAUGGGGAUAUAUUGGCAGAUUCCCCGCACUCCCCUUUAAUUCCCCCUCCCCUUUAACUCCCGCCUUUACCUUUAAUGGCCGGGCGCCGGGGUUAAUUCCCAACGGUUUUAAUGGAACCGACUCCAGUCUCGAGCUCAGUGACAUCGGAAGCCAUCCCGUAUUUCCGCCUGCUGUUCGGCGGCGCAGCUUCCGCCGGAUGUGCGGGUUCGAGACUCCCCCACGUGAGACCCGGCGGAAUUACACAGACAGGAAGAGCCCGUGAUCCGGGGCUCAGUCCGGGACACGUGUCCCGGGGUGGGAUAUCCCGGGAGAGAAUCUCUUUACUCCCUUUGCUGAGGGCGGUGUAUUCACAGUCUGGCAGAUAUAAUGAUGUUAAAUAGACAAAUACCUCGGCAGUGACCCUGGAUCUGCAGCGAUCUCUAAUACGGCUCGAAAGUGUGAUUUUAUUAUCAUCGGUUCCCCGAUACAGAGUGACGGUGAAAGACGUAUCUGAAUAUUUAACCUGUCACUCCUUGUCUCCGAACAGUUAAUUGUGUGUGACCGUAAAUGAAUCGGGAACAGCUUAUUUAUUCCCGCACGUCAGAAGCUCAUACAUUGUUUAAUUUGCAUUUGUCAUGAUGAAAUCA
Long non-coding RNA from Hypanus sabinus (Atlantic stingray), 1064 nucleotides. RefSeq lists it as uncharacterized. The transcript is spliced from 3 exons. The record is from RefSeq and is a predicted model, not a curated record. Lineage: Eukaryota; Metazoa; Chordata; Chondrichthyes; Myliobatiformes; Dasyatidae.